This 940-nucleotide long non-coding RNA is filed under the name Nicotiana benthamiana. Its description in RNAcentral is "long non-coding RNA (NBEN_LNC021613)". Lineage: Eukaryota; Viridiplantae; Streptophyta; Magnoliopsida; Solanales; Solanaceae. The record is from RNAcentral.
CCCGUGUCCUGAGUUCAAGAAAGGUGCUUGUGCCAAAGGUGAUUCUUGUGAGUAUGCUCAUGGUGUAUUUGAGUCAUGGCUUCAUCCUGCCCAAUAUAGAACCCGUCUCUGCAAGGAUGAGACCGGGUGCUCGAGGAAAGUUUGCUUCUUUGCUCACAAGCAUGAAGAGCUACGCCCAUUGUAUGCAUCCACUGGCUCAGCUAUUCCUUCUCCAAAGGCUACUCCAGUCAGUUCUAUGGACAUGUCAACACCAAGUCCUCUGGCGCUCAGUUCAUCUUCCAUGAUGCUGCCUACUACUACUACUUCAACACCUCCGAUGUCUCCUGCUGCUACGUGCCUCUGCAAGGACGAGACCGGGUGCUCGAGGAAAGUUUGCUUCUUUGCUCACAAGCAUGAAGAGCUGCGUCCGUUGUAUGCAUCCACUGGUUCAGCUAUUCCUUCCCCAAAGGCUACUCCAGUCAGUUCUAUGGACAUGUCAACAUUGAGUCCUCUGGCGCUCGGUUCGUCUUCCAUGAUGCUGCCUACUACUACUACUACUUCAACACCUCCUAUGUCUCCUGCUGCUACGUGUUCGUCUCCAAUGGGCGGAAACAUGUGGCAGGGCAAGGUGAAUCUCACCCCGCCUGCACUACAGCUUCCUGGUAGUAGGCUAAAGACAUCUCUAAACGCCCGAGACUUGGACUUGGACAUGGAAAUGCUUGGCUUGGAAAGCAUCCGCACGCAGCAGCAACUCAGGCAGCAAUUGAUCGAUGAAAUGGCUGGUCUCUCUUCCCCAUCCAAUUGGAAGAACGAUAACAGGAUGGGGGAUUUGAAGCCUACUAAUCUUGAUGAUGUUUUUGGAUCAAUGGAUUCUCAAUUGUUGUCCCAAUUGCAGGGCCUAUCUCCAAGAAUGACAUCAAACACCAGUUCUCAGUUGUAUUCUCCAUCGGUUUCUCAUAUG